GAUUAAUUAAAAAUAAAUUAAUUAAUAAAAAAAAAAGAAGGUACAUACUGAAUCAGGCUUGUUAAUGUUCAUCCACUCUGCAUUUCCUUUAUUCUUGGACACACAUUUUUAGGUCUAUGGAAUCAGGAUUCAGUGUACAAUUGGUGAGCAAGAACCUAAUUACAUUGCUGGUGUGGGUUACCAUACCUUUCAGUGUCUUGGGCUCGAGGAACGUGGUCUAGGUGUGCCCACAUUCCCACCUUCUGCUUUCAAGUUUGAAUCAGCUGGGCCUGCCUUCCUCCUCCUGUACUGGGAGCACCUCCCAGGCAGGGAGGGCUUCUGGUCUGUGUCCUUCCUGCACCCAGCAUGGGGCCGGGUAAGCCUCAAAUGUCCCCUGGGCCAAAUUCCCGGAGGGCCUUGCCCUCCUAGCAGGGCCAGGAAAAAAGCCCCAGGCACUUGAUUCCCUCUGGUACAUUGAAGCAUGCUCUCUGGCUGUCCCAGGCCCACACAGGCCAGGACUCCAGCAUCCCUGCUGUGAUGGGAGCCUUGGGCAGAUCUAUCCCUUCUCUGAGCUGUCAUGUUGGGGGAGGCACUCAAGUUUGCAGAAUUGGCUCUGACACCCCAAGAGGUUCUGCCAGGGGCUUCCUGAGGUUCAAGCCAGGUGGACUGCCCGCUGGGCUUGGAGGAAAGGGUUUCUUCCUGCAUGAAAUGGCAGGAAGCUGGGUACCUUCUCGAUAGGCCCCCAAGGAAGAAGGGGCUCCGUGAUCUGUUUACCACUCCCCGUCUGCUCCUCCCCAUGCUCCUGCUCUGUUGUCAGCAGAACCCCACCCUUGAGGACAGACAGACACCAUGGUCCCUCACCUCCGUAUUAGGAUAGUAACCAUCACCUCCACCCCUAAAAGAAAUUAAAGUCAGCCUAGAGUCUGUAAGGCAGGCUCUGUCUGCAUUAUCAGAUGACAAUGACAAAGCUGUCUCCUUGUUUUUUACCCAAGAUUGAACAAAAGACCUCCCAUUCUGGGAAAUAAUUUAUUCUACGACAUUGAGCGCAAACUGUAUGUGAACACUGUGUCAAGUGCUGGGACUUGCUUUGAGUCCUGAGUUCUGGGUGUGGCCGAAGUGAACUACUUCCUGAUCUGGGCCUCAGUUUUCCCAUCUGUGAUAUAGGAUAGCAUUCGUUCUGGUCACUUUUCAGAGUGUUUAUGGGAUUUGAGGCAUGGAGGAGAUAAUAAGUCACAUGACAGUGUGUUCUGAAUAGUGUAACAUAGAGUCCAGAAAUAAGAGCCUGGUAUUAUUCUUUAAAUUCCUUCCACCUGAGACCUAGCUUGUGUGCAGUAGGUGCUCAGUAAUUAUUAGUGGAAGGGGAUGGGGAGGGUGUAGUCAGGGUUUCCUAACCUUUCUGGGCACUGACUCUCCUGAGAAUCAGAUGAAAACAAGGGGUCUCUCCAUGGGAAAAUGUAUAUGUGGGAGCACAUACAGUUUUGCUCAUGAUUUCAGAAGUUUCAAGGAUCCCUGAGGCUCCAGACCCUAGCCGUAGGGCUCUUGUUCAGAUAGUCUUAGAGCUUGGUGGCUAUUUAUCCUGGUUGGGAUCUGUCCUUGCAGACUGCCCACAAGUGGGAUGCGGGUGGGCUAUCUGGAAGGGAGCUGUGCAUUGAUCCUGGCUCUCCCUAACCAUGCCAGAGACACUCUUCCUUAGCCCUUUGAGUGCGGUUAUUCCGGACCUGGCCCACGAGAGCCCAUGGCUAUCCCCAGGACAUCAUGCUUUCCUUUCUGUAGUUUGGUGGACAGAUGUGAGGGCUAGUCCUGAAGCUACGUGGAGGGAGUAGGUGAUUCUUGCUCCACGCCCAGAGGCUGCCUUGAGCCCACCAGAGCCUGCCAGACCCAGGGAAGCCCCCAGAGUAUACUGGUAUGGUAAAAUCUUCUGAGAGAGGUAUCUAAAAUUCCUUUUGAACCUCCUCUUUUCUUUUUAGGGCCCAAGUUCAAAGUCUGAGGUGGAGGGGGCCCGGUUGUGGGGCUGCAAGCAGGGGACAGGGGCACAGGGAAAACCCAGUUCCCAGGCUAACUCUACACCUCACCCCUGGCUGAGCCUUGGGGUUUAGACCCUGACUCUUUACCUGGGGUCACGAAACAUCUUUCUCCAGCCCCCCACCAGUCCUCCAGGAGUUGGCAGGGGGCAGGUAAAGGUAAGACAGCGUCCUGAGGUACUGACCUCUCUCCCAAUCCCUGCAACACACACACACACACACACACACACAGACCUGGUUUAUUAUUACUAGAUUUAUUUCCAGUCAGGCUGACCUCGUAGGGAAAUGAGUGGUGCCACCACACACCCCCUGUCCUGCUGGAGAACCUGAGGUGCCAGAGUCCAGCAGCCUGAGGGUCGGCUUCCUUUUCACAGAUUAAUGCCAGGGGGUCAGAUAGUUGACACGACUGUGGAGAGAAAUAGGGUUGAGGCAGGGGCUUCCAGGGUGUCCUGGGGAAAAUCAAGCUGUCCUUCUGUAGGCCUGCCCCCCAAACCCAACUUCCUGUCCUCAAAGCUCUGAAAACACAGCUUCCAUCCUAUCUCUCUAUGGCUCAAGAGCCUUCAGUGGCUCCCUAUUUCCUUUCAAUUAUAUAUUUUCAGAGACUCUGCUUGACUUUCAAUCACCCCCUUCCAGUUUGCCUCAUCUUUGUUUCUCAUUGAUCCCCAGUCCUGCCGUGCUUUACUCAUUUUUCAAACAUUUAGUGCACUUACCCUGGCAGGCAUUAUAUAAUAGUAUAUAAUAGUAAAAAUAUCAGAAAGCGUUCCCCUGUGUGUGGACAGGGUGGGUGAGAGAAGGCAAACUUUCCAUCAGUAAUUAUAACGCAAUAGUCUAUGUGCUAUCAGAUAGGGAUGCAUCUGUGGUGACCAACCCGAGGGGGUUUGAGCUGGAGGGGAGAGGCUUCAAGGGAGCCUCAGGGAAGACCAAGGAGGAUAGGACAUCUAGGCUGGGCUUUCAAGAGUGAGGAGGAAUUUUCCAGGCAGAGAAGGAAGGAUCACCUAGGCCCUGAAACAGCACCAGCAAAAGUGUGGCGUGCUUGGUUGUGCUGGUGCUUUGGGGGACACCCAGGAGUGUGGUACUGCUGCGGUGGAGGAAAGGGGGCCUGGUAGUUGGGAGAGGGCUGAAAGAUGAAGAUGCUUGAAUACCUUACACCUUCCUGCUGGAAACAGGAGCCUCAGCCCUUCCCACCUCUCCGGAUCCUGGAAGGCACACUCUUGGUUCUUUCCAUCAGCCCUUGCUCUCCUCCCUGGUAAGCCCCCCUCCUUUUGGCCUAGUCUGAGCCAAAUCGGGUGGGACAUGCACUCUGCUCCCCCCAUCUCCCAGUAGGCUGUGCUUUCUCCUGGCGCGGAUCUCUCCGGAGGGAAGCAAAUCGGCCCCGAUAUCACCCGGAGGGUACCAAAACCUUGGCUCGAGGCGGGGUGGAGAGGGGUCUGAGAGUCGCCUGAGCCCAGAGGCGGCCAGGACACAGCCCCAUGGAGGAGUGGCCGGUUGUGGAGCGGGAGGGGGUCAUUCGCCUACCUGUAGAUUGAGCCGAAGUGUCGGAAGGCGUUCCUGCCAAAAAGGGAGGAGGAAGGUGAGCCCGAGGUGGGGAAGGGUGACCCUCUCGGGGAACCUCACUCCCAUCUCGGGAGGCGCUAUCCCACCAGAAGGAUUACAUUCCACCCUGGUUCCACCUAAUGCCUUCACUCCGAAAGGUGGGGUUGCCAGGGACUGGAGGACAGGAUGCUCCGUUUGAUUAAACAUCUGUUCAGUUUGGAACUGCAAUUUCCUUGUGGUGUAUUGGAACCCAGCAGUUUUCCCGGGUCUCACACUUUCAAGAGUCACUAAAGGUGCUCGGAGGAAAGCGGCCAAGACCCCAUCCUCCCUCCUCCAGGGCAGCUUGAACUCGCCGGGGGAAGACACGAAGCGGGACCAGUCCUCAAUGGCGCGUGUGAAGCAGGGCCAGUCGACCCGGUUGAUGCCCGGCACGAUGGGUACCAGCUUUCCCUCGCGGCACCUGUUGCGGAGUCUCUGGCCCGUCGCCGUGACGUCCUGCCAGGGUGAUAUGAGGUGCAAUUUCCCUGAAGAGUUCCUAGAAAUCAAGACAAGAAGAAUGAGCCAGCCGUAUGCAUAGGUAAUUCACACAC
Leptonychotes weddellii (Weddell seal) is the source of this 4123-nucleotide non-coding RNA. The record is from RefSeq and is a predicted model, not a curated record. Lineage: Eukaryota; Metazoa; Chordata; Mammalia; Carnivora; Phocidae.